CCUUCGCCCUCAUCACUCUCGCCCUCGUUUUCCCCCUCUCAUUCGCCAUCCUCGCCCAUACCCUCUUCACCCACCCCAUCCUCCUCCAGCUGCAGAGGAGCGACGCCCCACCCUCCGACUGGCUCCUCCUCCUCCUCUACCAGUUCGCCUACCUCCUUUUCCUCUUCACCUUCUCCCUCCUCUCCACCGCCGCCGUCGUCUUCACCGUCGCCUCCCUCUACGCCGCC
RNAcentral lists this long non-coding RNA (227 nucleotides) under Musa acuminata (dwarf banana). Its description in RNAcentral is "long non-coding RNA (MACU_LNC002297)". The record is from RNAcentral. Lineage: Eukaryota; Viridiplantae; Streptophyta; Magnoliopsida; Zingiberales; Musaceae.